RNAcentral lists this ribosomal RNA (1418 nucleotides) under metagenome. Its description in RNAcentral is "bacterial LSU rRNA". It matches the Rfam family "Bacterial large subunit ribosomal RNA", at positions 1531 to 2925 of the family's 2925-position model. The record is from RNAcentral.
CUUAGGCAAAUCCGGGGACAUAAUUCCGAGACGUGACGACGAGCUCCCUUUCAGGGAGUGAAGUGACUGAUGCCAUGCUUCCAAGAAAAACCUCUAAGCUUCAGAUUACAAGUGACCGUACCCCAAACCGACACAGGUGGAUGAGGAGAGAAUCCUAAGGCGUUUGAGAUAACCAUGGUGAAGGAACUCGGCAAAAUGACACCGUAACUUCGGGAGAAGGUGUGCCCUUGGUAUGUGAAGGCCCUGCGGCUGGAGCAGAGAAGGGUUGCAAAUACUAGGUGGUCGCGACUGUUUAUUAAAAACACAGCACUCUGCAAACUCGUAAGAGGACGUAUAGGGUGUGACGCCUGCCCGGUGCCGGAAGGUUAAUUGAUGGGGUCAGCCGCAAGGCGAAGCUCUUGAUCGAAGCCCCGGUAAACGGCGGCCGUAACGAUAACGGUCCUAAGGUAGCGAAAUUCCUUGUCGGGUAAGUUCCGACCUGCACGAAUGGCGUAACGAUGGCCACACUGUCUCCACCAUGGACUCAGUGAAAUUGAAAUUGCGGUUAAGAUGCCGUAUACCCGCGGCUAGACGGAAAGACCCCGUGCACCUUUACUAUAGCUUUACACUGGACUUUGAACAUAUCUGUGUAGGAUAGCUGGGAGGCUUUGAGGCGGCGACGCCAGUCGUCGUGGAGCCAACCUUGAAAUACCAGCCUGGUCUGUUUGAGGUUCUAACCUAGAUCCGUAAUCCGGAUCGGGGACAGUGUAUGGUGGGUAGUUUGACUGGGGCGUCUCCUCCGAAAGAGUAACGGAGGAGCGCGAAGGUACCCUCAGCGCGGUCGGAAAUCGCGCGUUGCGUGCAAGGGCACAAGGGUGCUUGACUGCGAGACAGACACGUCGAGCAGGUACGAAAGUAGGUCUUAGUGAUCCGGUGGUUCUGAAUGGAAGGGCCAUCGCUCAACGGAUAAAAGGUACGCCGGGGAUAACAGGCUGAUACCACCCAAGAGUUCAUAUCGACGGUGGUGUUUGGCACCUCGAGUCGGCUCAUCUCAUCCUGGGGCUGAAGCCGGUCCCAAGGGUAUGGCUGUUCGCCAUUUAAAGAGGUACGCGAGCUGGGUUUAGAACGUCGUGAGACAGUUCGGUCCCUAUCUGCCGUGGGCGUUGGAGAUUUGAGAGGAGCUGCUCCUAGUACGAGAGGACCGGAGUGGACGUACCUCUGGUAUUCCGGUUGUCACGCCAGUGGCACUGCCGGGUAGCUAUGUACGGACGGGAUAACCGCUGAAAGCAUCUAAGCGGGAAGCCUCCCUCAAGAUGAGAUCUCCCUGGAACUUUAAGUUCCCUGAAGGGCCCUCGUAGACUACGAGGUUGAUAGGCUGGGUGUGGAAGUGUGGUAACACAUGAAGCUAACCAGUACUAAUUGCCCGUGAGACUUGACCA